Molecule: non-coding RNA, 514 nt
Organism: Equus caballus (horse)
Lineage: Eukaryota; Metazoa; Chordata; Mammalia; Perissodactyla; Equidae
Source: RefSeq, a predicted model, not a curated record
CGCGGCGGGCCCUCGGGAUCGUGCUGCUGAUCCUCGGUGAAUGCCACCAGCCCACCCGCCGCCACCCUUGGCACCACCCCUCCACCGCCGCCGUUUCUCGCCCCCAGAAGCGGCCCCAGGUCCCUCUUCACCAGCGUUGCUGCAUUGCUCCAGCAGUGUCAGGGCAUCUAUGGUAUUUGCUCCAAUUACCAUGGAAACCCAAUUUCCAAUCCAGAAAAUCCAAGACUGUAAAGUCCAGGAAUUAAGAGUGCCGGAGUCCCGCCCCGGCUGAGUCCAGGUUCCUGAGGGAUGGAUGGCGUCGGCGCAAUGAGGUGAAAAUAAAGAGGACGUGAGACUUGGCAGAUGAGGAAACUGAGGCUGGAUGAAGAGCUGUGAUUGGUACAAGGACAACUGUCCAGCAAGUGGCAGAGCCCAAAUCAAAGUCAAGUUCAUCUGGCUUCAAAGACUACGUGCCUAACCAUUACAAGAUGCUGCCUCCUGUUUGCUUUGUCUUAUUAGAACUUAGUUGAGUGUU